This 254-nucleotide ribosomal RNA is filed under the name uncultured bacterium. RNAcentral describes it as "partial 16S ribosomal RNA". It matches the Rfam family "Bacterial small subunit ribosomal RNA", at positions 524 to 776 of the family's 1533-position model. The record is from RNAcentral.
UACAGAGGGUGCGAGCGUUGUCCGGAAUCACUGGGCGUAAAGGGCGCGUAGGUGGUGGCUUAAGCGUGCGGUGAAAGCUCGGAGCUCAACUCCGAGUCGGCCGUGCGAACUGGGCUCACUGGAGCAUAGUAGAGGCAGGUGGAAUUCCGGGUGUAGCGGUGGAAUGCGUAGAGAUCGGGAAGAACAUCGGUGGCGAAGGCGGUCUGCUGGGCCGUUGCUGACGCUGAGGCGCGACAGCGUGGGGAGCAAACAGG